RNAcentral lists this long non-coding RNA (305 nucleotides) under Androctonus crassicauda. Lineage: Eukaryota; Metazoa; Arthropoda; Arachnida; Scorpiones; Buthidae. The record is from RNAcentral.
GUGCUAUCAUGUUUGAUGUCAUUAAGCAGAGUCUGAGCUUUCAUUUUCCGAUCACUCUUGUUCUUUUCGGUCAACAGUUGUCAGUUCAUGAGGACAAAAGAUUUGUAUGCCAAAUCCUUCUGCACUGCCAGACUGACUUCCAAAUUUAUUUCCAAAUUGACUUCACCAUGCCCAUUUCUUUUGCCAGUUCAAUCAUGUUCAACCUUGGAUUUUGGUCUAUCUUUUUCAAUUUGGAAAUAAAUUCAUCACUCCUCUUGCAAUCAGAUUGCUUUCUGUGUUUGGCUUGGUGAGGAGUUAGUACCUCC